Molecule: non-coding RNA, 112 nt
Organism: Photobacterium ganghwense
Lineage: Bacteria; Pseudomonadati; Pseudomonadota; Gammaproteobacteria; Vibrionales; Vibrionaceae
Source: Rfam
GUAAGAACUGUGAUUAUCAGGGUCCAGUGAUAAUAAACCCCGUAAUUCGGGGUUUUUUAUUAUCUGAAAUAUGACCAUUCAGGUAUCUACUGGGCUUUAUAGCCCUUUUUUU